RNAcentral lists this transfer RNA (74 nucleotides) under Clonostachys rosea. It matches the Rfam family "tRNA". Rfam says of the family: Transfer RNA (tRNA) molecules are approximately 80 nucleotides in length. Their secondary structure includes four short double-helical elements and three loops (D, anti-codon, and T loops). The record is from RNAcentral. Lineage: Eukaryota; Fungi; Ascomycota; Sordariomycetes; Hypocreales; Bionectriaceae.
ACCCGAUUAGCUCAAUUGGCUAGAGCGUGGGACGUAUGAUCCCAAGGUUGGGGGUUCGACCCCCCCAUCGGGUG